RNAcentral lists this ribosomal RNA (1343 nucleotides) under uncultured bacterium. RNAcentral describes it as "16S ribosomal RNA". It matches the Rfam family "Bacterial small subunit ribosomal RNA", at positions 28 to 1378 of the family's 1533-position model. The record is from RNAcentral.
GACGAACGCUGGCGGCGUGCUUAACACAUGCAAGUCGAACGGAAAGGCCCUGCUUUUGUGGGGUGCUCGAGUGGCGAACGGGUGAGUAACACGUGAGUAACCUGCCCUUGACUUUGGGAUAACUUCAGGAAACUGGGGCUAAUACCGGAUAGGAGCUCCUGCUGCAUGGUGGGGGUUGGAAAGUUUCGGCGGUUGGGGAUGGACUCGCGGCUUAUCAGCUUGUUGGUGGGGUAGUGGCUUACCAAGGCUUUGACGGGUAGCCGGCCUGAGAGGGUGACCGGCCACAUUGGGACUGAGAUACGGCCCAGACUCCUACGGGAGGCAGCAGUGGGGAAUAUUGCACAAUGGGCGGAAGCCUGAUGCAGCAACGCCGCGUGCGGGAUGACGGCCUUCGGGUUGUAAACCGCUUUCGCCUGUGACGAAGCGUGAGUGACGGUAAUGGGUAAAGAAGCACCGGCUAACUACGUGCCAGCAGCCGCGGUGAUACGUAGGGUGCGAGCGUUGUCCGGAUUUAUUGGGCGUAAAGGGCUCGUAGGUGGUUGAUCGCGUCGGAAGUGUAAUCUUGGGGCUUAACCCUGAGCGUGCUUUCGAUACGGGUUGACUUGAGGAAGGUAGGGGAGAAUGGAAUUCCUGGUGGAGCGGUGGAAUGCGCAGAUAUCAGGAGGAACACCAGUGGCGAAGGCGGUUCUCUGGGCCUUUCCUGACGCUGAGGAGCGAAAGCGUGGGGAGCGAACAGGCUUAGAUACCCUGGUAGUCCACGCUGUAAACGGUGGGUACUAGGUGUGGGGUCCAUUCCACGGGUUCCGUGCCGUAGCUAACGCUUUAAGUACCCCGCCUGGGGAGUACGGCCGCAAGGCUAAAACUCAAAGGAAUUGACGGGGCCCCGCACAAGCGGCGGAGCAUGCGGAUUAAUUCGAUGCAACGCGUAGAACCUUACCUGGGUUUGACAUGGAUCGGGAGUGCUCAGAGAUGGGUGUGCCUCUUUUGGGGUCGGUUCACAGGUGGUGCAUGGCUGUCGUCAGCUCGUGUCGUGAGAUGUUGGGUUAAGUCCCGCAACGAGCGCAACCCUUGUUCACUGUUGCCAGCACGUUAUGGUGGGGACUCAGUGGAGACCGCCGGGGUCAACUCGGAGGAAGGUGGGGAUGACGUCAAGUCAUCAUGCCCUUUAUGUCCAGGGCUUCACGCAUGCUACAAUGGCUGGUACAGAGAGUGGCGAGCCUGUGAGGGUGAGCGAAUCUCGGAAAGCCGGUCUCAGUUCGGAUUGGGGUCUGCAACUCGACCUCAUGAAGUCGGAGUCGCUAGUAAUCGCAGAUCAGCAACGCUGCGGUGAAUACGUUCCCGGG